Molecule: long non-coding RNA, 3018 nt
Filed under: Cairina moschata (Muscovy duck)
Lineage: Eukaryota; Metazoa; Chordata; Aves; Anseriformes; Anatidae
Description: domestica (muscovy Duck (domestic type)) lncRNA (ENSCMMG00000006133.1)
Source: RNAcentral
CCCCGUGGGGUCCCUUUGGGGUCGGGGGGGGACGUGGGGACACUUGUGGGGUCCCGUCCCCACCUGGAGCUGCAGCCGCAGCCGGGCGCCCUCGCUGCGCGCCGCCAGCACCGCCGCCGCCAGCGCCUCCGCCUCGGCCAGCAGCUGCUUGGUCUGGGGCACGGGGACAUUUGGGGGACAUUUGGGGGAUAUGGGGGGGAUAAGGGGAUGGGGACAUGGGGACGGGGACAUGGGGAUGGGGACACGGCGCUGCGAUGCACGGUAACGGGGGUGGCGCGGUCCCCCCCGAGGGUCCUGGUCAUGAGGGAGGGUGGGGUGGGAAGGGGGAGAGUGGGGAUGGGGAUGGGAUGGGGUGGGAAUAGGGCAAUGAUGGGGGCAGCAAUGGGAUGGGGAUAGGGCUGGGGACAGGGAUGGGAUGGGAAUGGGAUGGGGAUGGGGACAGGGAUGGGAAUGGGGUGGGAUGGGAAUGGGAUGGGAAUAGGACAGGAUGGGGACAGGAAUGGGGCAGUGAUGGGGACAGGAACGGGAUGGGAUGGGAAUGGGAUAGGGACAGCAAUGGGAUGGUGAUGGGGACAGGAAUGGGGACAGGGAUGGGAUGGGGAUGGUGACGGGAUGGGAAUGGGACGGCGAUGGGGACAGCAACAGGAUGGAGAUAGGGACGGGAACGGGACCGUGACGGGGACAGCAACGGGAGCGAGGUGCUGAUGGGGACAGCGAUGGGAAGGGGCCGACGAGGGCACGGGGCCAGCGGGAGCGACGGGCGCAGGGCCGGGGAGGGGGCAGCAGCCCGGCCUCACCUUGGCCUCCCUGUCCCCGGCCUCCUCUCCCCGCCGCCUCCUCGGCCUCCAUCUCGGCCACCAGCUGCAGGGCCUCGUGCUGGGACCUCGCCAGGGCCUCCAGCCGCCGCUGCAGCUCCCGCAGGACGCAGGCGGCGGGGAGGGGGCCGCCGGCCUCGUCCUCCCCCACCCCCCUGCCCAGGCGGUCCCGCAGCGCCUCCAGCUCCCUCCGCUGCCCCGCCAGCCUCCGCCGCAGCCUCGCUGCCUCCUCCCGCUUGGCCUCCAGCGCCCGGCACAGGGCGCCCACCCGGCUGCCCCCUUCCCCCGCCGCCCCCAGCUGGGGGUCCCGCACCCGCAGCGCCCGCAGCUCCUCCCGCAGCCUCCCCCUCUCGAGGCGCAGCCGGGCCAGCUCGCCCGCCAGGCUCCCGUUGCGCUCCUUCAGCUCCUGCACCUCCGCGCCCCGUCCCGCUCCCUCCUGGGGGGCGCGGGUCCCCCCCGGCCCCGUGGGCUCUUCCUCAGCCUUCCUCCUCCUCCUCCUCCUCCUCCUCCUCGCCAGCUCCUGCCCGUGCUCGGCUGGAGGAGCGAGGCCGGAGCCUUCAUCAUCAUCCUCAUCCUCGGCCUCGCUGCUGGCACCGGGUGGGGGCCGUGCCAGGUCCUGCACCCGCUGGAGGAGGCCGGUGCCACGCUCACCCCGCUGCUCCUCUUCCUCCUCUUCCUCCUUUUUAUCUUCCUCCUCCUCCUCCUCCUUCUUCUCCUCUUCCUCGCUGCUCUCUCCACAGCCCAGGGGGCCCUGCGGGCCGAGGCAGUGGGGUGCAGCCCCCCGCCACACCGCGGUUCCCCAGGGCCCCCCACCCCGAGCCCCCUACCUGCAGCUCAGGGUCCCCAGCGCCACCAGAUCCGUUCUCUGCCGGCAGAAGGAGAAGUAAAAAAAAAAACCUCUUUUCCCCCUUUUUCUCAUAAAAACCACCGAGCGAGGCCACGGGGGUGCUGCGGGGGGGCUCACCUCGCUGCGCGCGGCCGUGGCCCCCGUGGUGCCGGAGCUGCGCGGCCGCCUCCGUGCCGCCGUGCUCGUGGGCCAGGUCCAGGGCUGUCCUGCGGGACGGGGACGGGGACAGCGGGGUGGUGGCACGAGGGGCGCGGUGGCACGAGGACGCGCGCCCCCUCCCCGUGCCCCCCCGCGGCCGCUCACUUCUCGUCCCUGUCGGCGAGGUCGGGGUCGGCGCCGCUCUGCAGGAGCUGGGCGCAGACGGCGGCGUGGUUCCCCCGUGCCGCCAGCAUCAGGGGUGUCUGGCCGUGCUGGGGGGGGGUCACAGAGCUUCCGUCAGCUCCUGCCACCCCCCCCAGGUCCCCGUAACCCCCCCCAGGUCCCCGUCACCCCCCCAGGUCCCCGCUCACGGCGUCGGCGACGUCCAGCGGGGCCCCGUGUGCGCAGAGCAGCAGCACGCUGGAGGCGCAGCCCGAGGAGGCUGCAGGGGGGGAGCAUCAGCACGGGGUCGGCUCCCCCUUAUGGGGGUGGGCGAGGGGUGAAGCCCCCCACCCAUCCCAGCCCAUGGUGGGGCCCCCCUGGCACUCACCGGCCCAGUGCAGGGGGGUGCGGUGCUGCCCGUCCACGUGGCGCGUGUCGGCACCGUACUGCAGGGGACAGGGGCACGGGAAGGGGCCUGGGGGUCCUGCCCUGCGCCCCCGGCCCCGUUCCCAGCCUUGUCCCCAUCCCCAUCCUUCUUCUUGUCCUCAUCAUCAGCCCCAUUUCUGUUCCGUCCUCGUUCUUAUCCCAUUUCUCACCCCCAUCCCUGUCCCUACACAUAUCCCGAUCCCACUCCCUGUCCCUGUCCUUGUCCCUGUCCCUGUCCCUGUCCCCGUCCCCGUCCCCAUCCCCAUCCCCAUCCUCAUCCUCAUCCUCAUCCUCAUCCUCAUCCCACUCUUGGUCUCGUGUUUAUUCCCUUCCCUUCCCAUCCCAUCCCAUCCCAUCCCAUCCCAUCCCAUCCCAUCCCAUCCCAUCCCAUCCCAUCCCAUCCCAUCCCCUCCCCAUUCCCCACCUCCCUCUCCAGCCCCAUCCCGUCCCCAUCCCGUCCCCGUCCCCAUGGGGCCGGUACCUGCAGCAGGACCUUGACGCACUGGGGCUGGCAGCCGAUGGUGGCCAGGUGCAGCGCGGUGCUGCCUGCAAGAGCGGCUGGCACCGGGGGCCACGGGGACACCGGGGGGGGGGGGACAACACCCCCCCAGCUGCAAACACGGGCACCCC